GCGCUAGUGGUGAAAUUGGUAGACACGCUGGAUUUAGGUUCCAGUGCCGCAAGGUGUGAAGGUUCAAGUCCUUCCUGGCGCACCA
RNAcentral lists this transfer RNA (85 nucleotides) under Pseudomonadales bacterium. RNAcentral describes it as "tRNA-Leu". It matches the Rfam family "tRNA". Rfam says of the family: Transfer RNA (tRNA) molecules are approximately 80 nucleotides in length. Their secondary structure includes four short double-helical elements and three loops (D, anti-codon, and T loops). Lineage: Bacteria; Pseudomonadati; Pseudomonadota; Gammaproteobacteria; Pseudomonadales. The record is from RNAcentral.